Molecule: ribosomal RNA, 1600 nt
Filed under: Haploplasma axanthum ATCC 25176
Lineage: Bacteria; Bacillati; Mycoplasmatota; Mollicutes; Acholeplasmatales; Acholeplasmataceae
Description: bacterial LSU rRNA
Rfam family: Bacterial large subunit ribosomal RNA
Source: RNAcentral
GAAUGCCGGUGUAAGUAACGAAAAGAUAGGUGAGAAUCCUAUCCGUCGAAAACCCAAGGAUUCCAGGGGAAGGUUCGUCCGCCCUGGGUAAGUCGGGGCCUAAGGUGAGGCUGAAAAGCGUAGCCGAUGGAUAUCAGGUAGAGAAUCCUGAACUAGUAAAUAGACUGAAGGAGUGACAGAGGAGGAUAACACUUGCCCCUUAGUGGAUUGGGGUCGAGAAUACGAGUCUGUGGUAUAGGCAAAUCCGUACCACGCGAAGGAUGAGUAUUGACAGGUAAAAGGUGAUGACUUCAAACUCUCUAGAAAAGCUUCUAAGAUUAAUUUAUUUACUACCCGUACCGUAAACCGACACAGGUGGGUGGGUAGAGAAUACUAAGACGCGCGAGAAAACUCUUGUUAAGGAACUCGGCAAAAUGACUCCGUAACUUCGGGAUAAGGAGGACUUUUAAUGAAAAAAGAAAGUCGCAGAGAAUAGACCCAAGCGACUGUUUAUCAAAAACACAGGUCUCUGCAAAACCGUAAGGUGAAGUAUAGGGGCUGACGCCUGCCCGGUGCUGGAAGAUUAAGAGGAGAUGUCAGGAAACGAAGCAUUGAAUUGAAGUCCCAGUAAACGGCGGCCGUAACUAUAACGGUCCUAAGGUAGCGAAAUUCCUAGUCGGGUAAAUUCCGACCCGCACGAAAGGCGUAACGAUUUGGGUGCUGUCUCAACAAGAGACUCGGUGAAAUCAAGAUGCCGGUGAAAACGCCGGCCACCCGCGACAGGACGAAAAGACCCCAUGGAGCUUUACUGUAACUUGAUAUUGAUAUUGGGUGCAGAAUGUACAGGAUAGGUGGGAGACUUGGAAGCUGGAACGCUAGUUUCGGUGGAGUCGACCUUUGGAUACCACCCUUUCUGUAUCUGAUAUCUAACCUCGGUAAGUGGAUUACCAGGGACAGUGUCUGGUGGGCAGUUUGGCUGGGGCGGCCGCCUCCUAAAAAGUAACGGAGGCGCCCGAAGGUUCCCUCAGAAUGGUCGGAAAUCAUUCAUAGAGUGCAAAGGCAGAAGGGAGCUUGACUGCGAGACAAACAAGUCGAGCAGGUACGAAAGUAGGGCUUAGUGAUCUUACGGUUCCGCAUGGAAGGGCCGUGACUCAACGGAUAAAAGCUACCCUGGGGAUAACAGGCUUAUCGCAUCCAAGCGUUCACAGCGACGAUGCGGUUUGGCACCUCGAUGUCGGCUCGUCACAUCCUGGAGGUGGAGAAGCUUCCAAGGGUUGGACUGUUCGUCCAUUAAAGUGGCACGCGAGCUGGGUUCAGAACGUCGUGAGACAGUUCGGUCUCUAUCCGUCGUGGGCGUUGGAAAUUUGAAGGGUGCUGCUCCUAGUAUGAGAAGACCGGAGUGGACAUACCACUGGUGCACCAGUUGGCCUGCCAGGGCCACAGCUGGGUAGCUAUGUAUGGAAGGGAUAAACGCUGAAAGCAUCUAAGCGUGAAGCCCCCCUUAAGAUGAGAUUUCCCAAUUUAGUAAGACCCCUUGAAGACGACAAGGUUGAUAGGCUGGGUGUGGAAGCAUGGUGACAUGUGGAGCUGACCAGUACUAAUAGGUCGAGGACUUAACCUU